This is a long non-coding RNA of Bufo bufo (common toad), 914 nucleotides long. RefSeq lists it as uncharacterized. Lineage: Eukaryota; Metazoa; Chordata; Amphibia; Anura; Bufonidae. The transcript has 2 exons. The record is from RefSeq and is a predicted model, not a curated record.
AGUUGCCCUAAAUUUAUUAUGAAAGGUUACAAAAUUCACAUGAUGUACACCAAAAUGAUACCAUUUAAAAAAUACACACCUAGAUAAAACAAGCCCUCACAUGGCUACAUUGAUGCAUAAACAAAAGGUAUGACUUUUGAAAUGCAGGGAUAAAUGGGGGGGGGGGGGGGGGGGGGGGUGAGAUCCUUAAAGAGGUUGUCCAUCAGAAGUAUAAAAAAAUAAAGUGCCAGUGCCCAGACAAUAACUAAAGCCAAGAGGCAUUUGUAUCAUGACAGAUAUACUGUGUAUAAAUCAGUUUUCUAAUGUGUUCAGCACAGCAUGCUCCAAUUGAUGAGAGGCCGUGUGGGUGGAGCAGCUGCAAAGUGAAAGUAAAAAUCCCAGCAUGCAUCUUCAUAGGUGAGGUCACAUGACAUCCCUGGACAACUGUGAUAUCAUGGUAACAACAGCAUCUUAGGUGUCAUUUCAUCAGUGCUUUAGGCCUCAUGCACAUGACCAUAGCCUGUCCGUGCCAGUAUUGUGGCCCAAGAACAGGGGCACUGGCCAUGUGUGCACUGUAUCAUAGAUGCAGACACAUUCAUUUGAAUGGGUCCGGAAGAUACGGUGCGGAAUGGAAGCACUACAGCAGUUUUAUGUCUGUGUCUCCGCAUGUGAAUGGGGUCGGAGCCCAUGUAUUGCAGACCACAGUGUGUGUGUGUACAUAUAUAUAUAUUUAUAUAUAUAUAUACACACACACCACAGUUCCAUGUAACUAUAUAAAAAAAAAGUACUGUACAGUAUAGGGUGCCCAGAUGUCCUGCUUUCUGGGUUGGCGUGGGGGAGAUGGACUGAGGAUCAGCUGAUUCCUGUCAGAGUUGGAGCAGGGAGCCGGCCACUGACAGGAGCAGACCGCACAUGCGCUGCUCUCACACAAUAGG